Molecule: ribosomal RNA, 548 nt
Filed under: Podarcis erhardii
Lineage: Eukaryota; Metazoa; Chordata; Lepidosauria; Squamata; Lacertidae
Description: partial 12S ribosomal RNA
Rfam family: Bacterial small subunit ribosomal RNA
Source: RNAcentral
AUAGCUUUGGUCCUGGGCUUACCGUUAUUUUUUAUCAAGAUUAUACAUGCAAGCCUCAACAAUCCAGUGAAAAUGCCCAAAACCCCUUAAAAGACAAAAUGGAGCAGGCAUCAGGCACUAUAGCAAGCCCAUAACGCCUAGCCACGCCACACCCCCACGGGCUCACCAGCAGUAAUAAACAUUGGGCCAUAAGUGAAAACUUGACCCAACUAUGAUAACUUAGGGCUGGUCAAUUUCGUGCCAGCCACCGCGGUUAUACGAAAGGCCCAAAAUAACGACAAACCGGCGUAAAAUGUGACUAGAGAUCUUUAAUAUUUUAAGCUUCAAAAUCCAUAGUCUAGUUGUAAAACACUAGGACUAUGAAGAAAACCAACACAAGUGUUCUUAAUGUUAUAUUCUUGACCACACGAAAGCUUAGAAACAAACUAGGAUUAGAUACCCUACUAUGCUAAGCCCUGAACAUUGAUAGUUUUAAUACAACGCUUCCCGCCAGAGAACUACAAGUGAAAAACUUGAAACUCAAAGGACUUGACGGUGUCCCAUAUCGG